Molecule: ribosomal RNA, 402 nt
Filed under: uncultured prokaryote
Description: bacterial SSU rRNA
Rfam family: Bacterial small subunit ribosomal RNA
Source: RNAcentral
UGAGGAAUCUUGCGCAAUGGGGGAAACCCUGACGCAGCAACGCCGCGUGAGUGAAGAAGGCCUUCGGGGUGUAAAGCUCUUUCGGCAGGAACGAUAAUGACGGUACCUGCAGAAGAAGCUGCGGCUAACUACGUGCCAGCAGCCGCGGUAAUACGUAGGCAGCAAGCGUUGUUCGGAGUUACUGGGCGUAAAGAGUGUGUAGGCGGUUCGCCAAGUUCGGUGUGAAAUCUCCCGGCUUAACUGGGAGGGUUCGCCGAAUACUGGCGGGCUAGAGUGCGGGAGAGGAGAGCGGAAUUCCUGGUGUAGCGGUGAAAUGCGUAGAUAUCAGGAGGAACACCUGCGGUGUAGACGGCUCUCUGGACCGUUUCUGACGCUGAGACACGAAAGCGUGGGUAGCAAACA